Molecule: unclassified non-coding RNA, 242 nt
Filed under: Linnemannia hyalina
Lineage: Eukaryota; Fungi; Mortierellomycota; Mortierellomycetes; Mortierellales; Mortierellaceae
Description: partial internal transcribed spacer 2
Source: RNAcentral
AACACCUCAAAGUCUUUUUUUCUUGAAAAGACCUUGGACUUGAGCAAUCCCAACUCUUCUUUCAGAAGAGGCGGGUUGCUUGAAAUGCAGGUGCAGCUGGACAUUCUCCUGAGCUAAAAGCAUAUUCAUUUAGUCCCGUCAAACGGAUUAUUACUUUUGCUGCAGCUAACAUAAAGGGAAUUUGACCAUUUUGGCUGACUGAUGCAGGAAUUUCACAAGAGUCUUCAAAACGCUCUUGUUAA